UAAUAAGUGAAAGUGAAAGUGACGAGACAUACAGCCAAGUAUGGUGACCCAUACUCAGAAACACAUAACUGUAAACACGGUGAAGAUGCUGGUGUUGGUUGUUCAGCUAUGUUAAAUCUUAAGCAUCUUCACACAUUAUUUUGGGGAAAUUACAUAAAGAUUAAUACAUUUCAUAAUUUCUCCACACAUGCAGCUGUUUCUCCUGGAGAAAAUAUCCAGUUCAGUUGCACAACACCUAAACCAAGAUGCAAAGCUAAUGCUGAAUUCCAGCUCUUCAGAAACGGACCAUCUGUAUCCUCACAGACACAUGAAUCUAGUGUGACUUUCAACCUUGUUAAUGUAGACGUCUCACAUCAGGGCAGCUACAGCUGUCGUUACUCCUACCAAAACAACAUCAAGUCACCUUUGAGCAACACUGUAUUCAUCACUGUGGUGAACUUGCAGCAGCCCAAUAUUUUGCACAAUGCUCCUGAUGGAGGGUUUCAUGUGGGGCCUCAGGGGCCAGUGAUCACCAGGGGUCACAGUUUCACUAUCAUCUGUUCAACUCACUCUCAGUUUCCUGGAGGAUCUUUUCACCUGUUCAGAGGAUCAAGCAUCACCAGGACUGAGUCAGCUGUCAGUCACUCUGCUUCCUUCUUCUUUCCUGAGGCAGAUUAUUCACACGAGGGAAACUACAGUUGUGUUUAUGAAGUCAUUGUCUCCUCACGCUCCUUCUGUUCAUCUGCCUCCGAACUGCUGUUCAUCACUAUCACAGGUACUGAUGUGUAAGAGUCUAAAAACAAGCUGAACUGCUGGUAAUGAAAGUUUAAUUAAAUCACGUGUGUCUCUUUCAGCCUCCCUGCUUCCUGUCAUUGGUGCUGCAGUGUCAGCUGUGCUGCUCUUAUUGUCUGCCCUCAUAAUCAUCAUCCUGCUGAAGAGAAGACAAAAGCAAAGGAACAAGGAAACUUUCUUGAAGUUCUCCUUUAGCAAUGGUAACUCUGAAUUUCAUGAAAACAUCAGAUUAUGUCUUAAGUUUUAACAUUUUACCUUCCAGCAACACUGUUAAUUAACAACUUCCUUUAAUAAAUUUGCCCUUCAUCUCUAUGCA
This is a long non-coding RNA of Cyprinus carpio (common carp), 1087 nucleotides long. Lineage: Eukaryota; Metazoa; Chordata; Actinopteri; Cypriniformes; Cyprinidae. The record is from Ensembl.